GCUUAACACAUGCAAGUCGAACGGAAAGGCCUCUGCUUGCAGGGGUACUCGAGUGGCGAACGGGUGAGUAACACGUGGGUGAUCUGCCUUGUACUUCGGGAUAAGCCUGGGAAACUGGGUCUAAUACCGGAUAGGACCAAUCUUUAGUGUGGUUGGUGGAAAGUUUUUUCGGUACGAGAUGAGCCCGCGGCCUAUCAGCUUGUUGGUGGGGUAAUGGCCUACCAAGGCGACGACGGGUAGCCGGCCUGAGAGGGUGUACGGCCACAUUGGGACUGAGACACGGCCCAGACUCCUACGGGAGGCAGCAGUGGGGAAUAUUGCACAAUGGGCGGAAGCCUGAUGCAGCGACGCCGCGUGAGGGAUGACGGCCUUCGGGUUGUAAACCUCUUUCGCUAGGGAAGAAGCCUUUUUGGUGACGGUACCUGGAUAAGAAGCACCGGCUAACUACGUGCCAGCAGCCGCGGUAAUACGUAGGGUGCAAGCGUUGUCCGGAAUUACUGGGCGUAAAGAGCUCGUAGGUGGUUUGUCGCGUCGUUAGUGAAAGCCCGGGGCUUAACUCCGGGUCUGCUGGCGAUACGGGCAUAACUUGAGUGCUGUAGGGGAGACUGGAAUUCCUGGUGUAGCGGUGGAAUGCGCAGAUAUCAGGAGGAACACCGAUGGCGAAGGCAGGUCUCUGGGCAGUAACUGACGCUGAGGAGCGAAAGCAUGGGUAGCGAACAGGAUUAGAUACCCUGGUAGUCCAUGCCGUAAACGGUGGGCGCUAGGUGUGGGGGUUUUUCACGACUUCCGUGCCGUAGCUAACGCAUUAAGCGCCCCGCCUGGGGAGUACGGCCGCAAGGCUAAAAC
This 846-nucleotide ribosomal RNA is filed under the name Corynebacterium resistens. Its description in RNAcentral is "bacterial SSU rRNA". It matches the Rfam family "Bacterial small subunit ribosomal RNA", at positions 46 to 900 of the family's 1533-position model. Lineage: Bacteria; Bacillati; Actinomycetota; Actinomycetes; Mycobacteriales; Corynebacteriaceae. The record is from RNAcentral.